Molecule: ribosomal RNA, 499 nt
Filed under: uncultured bacterium
Lineage: Bacteria
Description: partial 16S ribosomal RNA
Rfam family: Bacterial small subunit ribosomal RNA
Source: RNAcentral
AUUGAACGCUGGCGGAAUGCUUUACACAUGCAAGUCGAACGGCAACACGGACUUCGGUCUGGUGGCGAGUGGCGAACGGGUGAGUAAUACAUCGGAACGUGCCAGUCGUGGGGGAUAACGUAGCGAAAGCUACGCUAAUACCGCAUACGAUCUAAGGAUGAAAGCGGGGGAUCGCAAGACCUCGCGCGAUUGGAGCGGCCGAUGGCAGAUUAGGCAGUUGGUAGGGUAAAGGCCUACCAAGCCGACGAUCUGUAGCUGGUCUGAGAGGAUGAUCAGCCACACUGGGACUGAGACACGGCCCAGACUCCUACGGGAGGCAGCAGUGGGGAAUUUUGGACAAUGGGCGCAAGCCUGAUCCAGCCAUUCCGCGUGCAGGAUGAAGGCCUUCGGGUUGUAAACUGCUUUUGUACAGAACGAAAAGGCUCUGGUUAAUACCCGGGGCUCAUGACGGUACUGUAAGAAUAAGCACCGGCUAACUACGUGCCAGCAGCCGCCGCCG